GUGAGUCGACCCCUAAGGCGAGGCCGAAAGGCGUAGUCGAUGGGAAACAGGUUAAUAUUCCUGUACUUGGUGUUACUGCGAAGGGGGGACGGAGAAGGCUAUGUUAGCCGGGCGACGGUUGUCCCGGUUUAAGCAUGUAGGCUGAUUAUCCAGGCAAAUCCGGAUAAUCAAGGCUGAGGUGUGAUGACGAGGCACUACGGUGCUGAAGUAACAAAUGCCCUGCUUCCAGGAAAAGCCUCUAAGCAUCAGGUAACAUCAAAUCGUACCCCAAACCGACACAGGUGGUCAGGUAGAGAAUACCAAGGCGCUUGAGAGAACUCGGGUGAAGGAACUAGGCAAAAUGGUGCCGUAACUUCGGGAGAAGGCACGCUGGUGUGUAGGUGAAG
Molecule: ribosomal RNA, 386 nt
Filed under: Klebsiella quasipneumoniae subsp. similipneumoniae
Lineage: Bacteria; Pseudomonadati; Pseudomonadota; Gammaproteobacteria; Enterobacterales; Enterobacteriaceae
Description: partial 23S ribosomal RNA
Rfam family: Bacterial large subunit ribosomal RNA
Source: RNAcentral